This 332-nucleotide unclassified non-coding RNA is filed under the name Hevea brasiliensis (rubber tree). Lineage: Eukaryota; Viridiplantae; Streptophyta; Magnoliopsida; Malpighiales; Euphorbiaceae. The record is from RNAcentral.
ACCGAGAAAGAAUUGGGCAAGACGGGCGGAUUGAAUAUUUGUGCACAGCGGAUUGACGAAUGUGAAGGCCUCGAUAAGAUCGAGAAUCUACAGGGUCACGACAACAAUGAGAUAUAUGAGAAGGCCAUAAAACUCUUGGAAAGAUACUGGGUCGAGGAAGAUGAUGAAGAAGAGAAUGUGCAAGGUGCGGGAGCUGCAUUUGAUUUUGGGGCCAGUCAGCCCGCCCUGUCCACCGAUGGCUUCAAAUUUGGUUGAGCAUGUCAUUAUUGGUGAAUUCGAUUUCUUGCAAUCUGCGAGAGGGUCAGGGUUUUUGUGCUGACUUUCUGGUUAAA